RNAcentral lists this ribosomal RNA (301 nucleotides) under uncultured bacterium. Its description in RNAcentral is "partial 16S ribosomal RNA". It matches the Rfam family "Bacterial small subunit ribosomal RNA", at positions 509 to 807 of the family's 1533-position model. The record is from RNAcentral.
CAGUAGCCACGGUAAUACGAAGGGGGCUAGCGUUGUUCGGAAUUACUGGGCGUAAAGGGCGCGUAGGCGGCCAUUCAAGUUAGAUGUGAAAGCCCUGGGCUCAACCUAGGAAUUGCAUUUGAUACUGUUUGGCUUGUGUUCGGGAGAGGUGAGUGGAAUUCCCAGUGUAGAGGUGAAAUUCGUAGAUAUUGGGAAGAACACCAGUGGCGAAGGCGGCUCACUGGACCGACACUGACGCUGAGGCGCGAAAGCGUGGGGAGCAAACAGGAUUAGAUACCCCCGUAGUCCCUGUCUCUUAUAC